This 442-nucleotide ribosomal RNA is filed under the name uncultured bacterium. RNAcentral's name for it is "partial 16S ribosomal RNA". It matches the Rfam family "Bacterial small subunit ribosomal RNA", at positions 338 to 795 of the family's 1533-position model. The record is from RNAcentral.
CCUACGGGUGGCAGCAGUAGGGAAUCUUUCACAAUGGGCGAAAGCCUGAAGGAGCAACGCCGCGUGCAGGAUGAAGGCCCUCGGGUUGGUAAACGCCUUUUUAAGCGAGAAAAAUGAUGGUAACUUAUGAAUAAGGAUCGGCUAACUACGUGCCAGCAGCGGUGGUUAUAUGUAGGAGCCGAGCAUAAUCCGGAGUGACCGGGGGUAAAGAGUUGUGUUGGUGGGAUAAUAAGUAGCUAGGGGAAUCUGGUGGCUCAACCAUUCAGACUAUUGGCUAAACUGUGAGGCUCGAGACCGUUGGAGGUAAGCGGAAUUUGUGGUGUAGGGGUGAAAUGCGUAGAUAUUAGGAAGAACACCGAUAGCGUAGGCAGGUUGCUGGGACGGUUCUGACGCUGAGGCACGAAAGCGUGGGGAGCGAACGGGAUUAGAUACCCGAGUAGUC